ACUGUGUGUGUGUGUGUGUGUGUGUGUGUGUGUGUGUGUGUGUGUGUGUGUGUGUGUGUGUGUGUGUGUGUGUGUGUGUGUGUGUUUUGCACUGGUUUCUAAUCGUUUGUGCUCGUGUUUUUGGAUACAGCCUUCGGAAUACUUCAAAAUAACCCUGUGUUUUCUCAGUGUGGAUUUUUACAUGUAUGACCUCCGAACACACGUACAAUAAAAGUCUUUUUGAACACAA
Puntigrus tetrazona (Sumatra barb) is the source of this 229-nucleotide long non-coding RNA. RefSeq lists it as uncharacterized. Lineage: Eukaryota; Metazoa; Chordata; Actinopteri; Cypriniformes; Cyprinidae. The record is from RefSeq and is a predicted model, not a curated record. The transcript is spliced from 2 exons.